This is a long non-coding RNA of Brienomyrus brachyistius, 466 nucleotides long. RefSeq lists it as uncharacterized. The transcript is spliced from 3 exons. Lineage: Eukaryota; Metazoa; Chordata; Actinopteri; Osteoglossiformes; Mormyridae. The record is from RefSeq and is a predicted model, not a curated record.
GAGAUCCAGUACUGGGUCAGUAGGAGAGCUGAGAAGGCCUCCACUGAUCAUGUCUGGCUGGGGCUGCGCUUCUCCUGCUACCUGAACUUCUGGUUCUGGGUCAGUGCAGAAAAUGUCAGCUACCAGAACUGGGAAACAAACAACAUAUCCAACAGUAACUUGUGUGGAAGCACAGGGGCAGUACAAUCUAAAGACCCACAUUACUGGGUCAGCCUGCCUGAGACUACGGAGCUCAACUUCAUCUGCUCCAAAUAUUCAAUUCUUACAGGAAAGAGAACAGUGGUGAGACUGACUGUCAGGACUGAUGGAGACAUAAAGGAUCCUGCAUUCAGCAGCCAUCUGUUAACACAGUUACAGGAGAAACUGAUCAGUGCAGGCAUGUCAGAAGGCACCGAAUUAUCCUGGAGGACUCAACCUGAUGGCCAAAUCUUCCAUCUAAAGGACUAAAGAGCAUAAAUGACAAGGU